Molecule: unclassified non-coding RNA, 220 nt
Filed under: plant metagenome
Description: partial contains small subunit ribosomal RNA, internal transcribed spacer 1, and 5.8S ribosomal RNA
Source: RNAcentral
UUUUCGUAGGUGAACCUGCGGAAGGAUCAUUACAGAGUUCAUGCCCUCACGGGUAGAUCUCCCACCCUUGAAUAUUUAUACCUUAGUUGCUUUGGCAGGCCGUGGAAACACCAUGGGCUCCGGCUUAUGCGUGCCUGCCAGAGGAAACAAACUCUGUUUUUAGUGAUGUCUGAGUACUAUAUAAUAGUUAAAACUUUCAACAACGGAUCUCUUGGUUCUG